Acanthosepion pharaonis is the source of this 121-nucleotide non-coding RNA. NCBI's taxonomy places the organism in Eukaryota, Metazoa, Mollusca, Cephalopoda, Sepiida, Sepiidae. The record is from the annotation of a GenBank genome assembly.
UUACGGCCACAUCGCGUUGAAAAAUUGGUUCCCGUACGAUCACCGAACGGCUCAGUUAAGCAACGACGAGCUGGGUCAGUACUUUGAUGGGUGACCGCUUGGAAAUACCAGGUGCUGCAAG